RNAcentral lists this long non-coding RNA (1649 nucleotides) under Schizosaccharomyces pombe (fission yeast). Lineage: Eukaryota; Fungi; Ascomycota; Schizosaccharomycetes; Schizosaccharomycetales; Schizosaccharomycetaceae. The record is from RNAcentral.
AUGUCAGUAGGUCCUUUCGAAGAGCAAAACAGUCAGUAGCAUAUUUUAUUAACAAAAAAAUGAGCAAAGGAUUCAACUUAAUUAAUACAAAGCUUUCAAUCCCAUCUCUACAGCAGCUGAUCCCCAAUCAUUUCCAUGGUUAUGGCCACCAUUCAAACCUGCACGAUAAAGAGCUUGCUCUUCAUUUAAAACUGUUAAUAGACCUAGAAUGACGGGAACACCUGAAUCAAGGCCAACGCGCAUAAGACCAUGAACAACAGCUUCUGAAAUAUAUUCAAAAUGCAUGGUGGAACCUUUGAUUAAAACGCCAAUGCCAAUAACAGCAUCAUAUGUAUUGCGGGCGAUGGAAGCACGAAUACCUUGAGGAAGUUCCCAACUUCCCGGAACACUUUCAAUGUCAAUAUUCUCCAACUUCACAUCAUGUUUUUCUAUCAUGGUCUCAACGGCACCCUUAACAAGAGGCUCAAUGGCUUGAAGAUUCCAGCGGGCAUGGACAAUAAGAAUGCGCAAUUCUGGUCCCUAUAAAAAAAAUUGAUUAGAACUUUUGAAUUAACUAUUUUCACGAAAAAACUGCGUGAGAAAGAGGAGAAAUUUAAAAAAAAAAAGACCAAGCGCUUUUGUAAAUAGAACACUUAAGCAAUAAUUAUAUCGUGUAGAAAAUAAAAUAAAAUUCGGUAUUCAGAAGAAAAGGUUCAACUAAAAAAAAAAAACAUAUCGAACUUCUUUUCAUGGAUAUAAGUGAAAACAAGCAGCGCUAAAUAGGAAACGCAAAGAAAACACCGCAAGUUCAUAUUUUUGAUUCAUACCUUUAAGUCUGAAGGGUUAGGGCCUUUAAUACCACUGAACAUGAUUAUUUACUUGAUUAAAUAGUUGUGAAGACUAUACAGAAAAAUGCAGCAAGUUUGGUGUGCGUGUGCUUUAUAAGCUGCAGCAAGAACUGAUUUACAGAAUCAACAGAUCUAAUACUUAAGGUUCUAGAAAUGUUGAUUUCUAAUUAAUUUUUUAAUUUUAGUCAUGAAAUUACUAUCUGAUGAGGCAGGUAUAAUACUGGAACAUAGAUUACUAAUAGUCACCCCAUUAACGUCGUUUAUUAAUAUGUCGAGGCUGUCGUAGAUGCAAAUGUCUCAUUUUUACUAAACAGUUUGUUCAUUUGAACAAAAAGAAAGGAAAAAAUAAUGAAUAGUAUCAAUAAGCAAAACGAUGAAUACACACAUUUCCAAUUUUUUUUGAAGUUCGGAUUCAAAAACCGUUACAAUUUAAUAAAUGUCGAGUACAUUGAUUUAUACAGUAAUCAAAUAUUCAUUAAUUCUUAUUCAGAUCAUAAAGAGAAUUUCAUCCGAGAACGAAUGGCACACUAUGGGUUUCAUCACACAAUAUCAUAAUAGAAACAGAAACAAUAAGUAUUAAACCAGCGAAUGUAAGAAGAUUCAGAAAUAAAUCUUUUUAAUUACUAACCAAGCGCCUCCGUUCUAACCAGCGAGCCCAUGCUAAAUCCAAGGGUUAGUAUACAAUAAAUGUACAGAAGUUUAAGGAUGUAGAAAAGGUUAAGAAUGAAAGACUAAUAGAACAGUAAUGGAAACAAAAAUGUUUAAAAAAUAACGAAAGAUGUAAAUGUAGACCAACAAGCAGACCAUUUAAAAACAGUUUAU